RNAcentral lists this long non-coding RNA (509 nucleotides) under Salvia miltiorrhiza (redroot sage). Its description in RNAcentral is "long non-coding RNA (SMIL_LNC002696)". Lineage: Eukaryota; Viridiplantae; Streptophyta; Magnoliopsida; Lamiales; Lamiaceae. The record is from RNAcentral.
AUAUUAUCUCUUGAAGGGAUUUGGGAAUUUGAUAUUAUGUCUUGGAAGCUGCACACCUUCUGCAUAUGUGCCUAGGUCUAAAAUAUGAAUUGACUAAGUAUACGAAGCUGCACACCUUCUGCAUAUGUGCCUAGGUCUAAAAUAUGAAUUGACUAAGUAUACGAAGCUGCACACCUUCUGCAUACGUGCUAGGGCUUGGAACAUAAUUUGGAUAACAUACUUUGGGACCAUAGAGUCAUACUAGCCCUGUCACUAGCAUCACAAGUAGGAACACCAAUCACAAGCAUACACAUAACAUGUUUAUUUUAAUCAUGCACAUGUUACUAAGAGGGAGGGAGUAGGGUAUAUGUUGCCAUCUGUAUUUUUCUUGAAAAUUUACAGCACAUCAAUAAUGGUUAACAACGCUGGAAAACCUGCUUCGGCAGAAAAUGAGCUUUAGUGGCAAUUCAGCCACGCUUCGGAGGGGAAAGCCUUAAGUAGAAUUUGGGUCUUCUCAGCGCAGUCAGGAU